CAGGACCUAACACAUGCAAGUCGAACGGUGGCAGCAAUGUCAAAGUGGCGCACGGGUGCGUAACACGUAACUAACCUGCCCAAGACUGGGGGAUAGCCCGCCGAAAGGCGGAUUAAUACCGCAUAAUAUCUUUUACUGGCAUCAGUGAUUGAUUAAACCUGAGGGGGUCUUGGAUGGGGUUGCGGGUCAUUAGCUAGUUGGUACGGUAACGGCGUACCAAGGCGACGAUGACUAGGGGAGCUGAGAGGCUGGUCCCCCACACGGGCACUGAGAUACGGGCCCGACUCCUACGGGAGGCAGCAGUGGGGAAUAUUGGACAAUGGGCGCAAGCCUGAUCCAGCCAUGCCGCGUGAGUGAUGACGGCCCUAGGGUUGUAAAGCUCUUUUACCUGGGAAGAUAAUGACGGUACCAGGAGAAUAAGCCCCGGCUAACUUCGUGCCAGCAGCCGCGGUAAU
Molecule: ribosomal RNA, 455 nt
Filed under: uncultured bacterium
Lineage: Bacteria
Description: bacterial SSU rRNA
Rfam family: Bacterial small subunit ribosomal RNA
Source: RNAcentral